GUGCUCACUUGGGCAGUGCAUAUACUACAAUUGGAAUGAUAUAGAGAAGAUUAGCAUGGCCCCUAUGCAAGGGUGACAUGUAGGCUGAUGCUCUGACCUUAAGGAUU
Molecule: small nuclear RNA, 107 nt
Organism: Suricata suricatta (meerkat)
Lineage: Eukaryota; Metazoa; Chordata; Mammalia; Carnivora; Herpestidae
Source: Ensembl